UCGAAGGAGAUGGUGCGAUAGCCACGGAU
RNAcentral lists this small RNA (29 nucleotides) under Bombyx mori (domestic silkworm). RNAcentral's name for it is "ovarian small RNA-28215". The record is from RNAcentral. Lineage: Eukaryota; Metazoa; Arthropoda; Insecta; Lepidoptera; Bombycidae.